GAUGAACGCUAGCGGCAGGCUUAACACAUGCAAGUCGAGGGGCAGCAUGAGACGGAGAUUCGUCGAAGUCUUGAUGGCGACCGGCGCAAGGGUGCGUAACGCGUGAGCAACUUGCCCGUUUCAGGGGGAUAACCGGUGGAAACGCCGACUAAUACCCCAUAGUAUAACGAGAAGGCAUCUUUUUGUUAUUAAAGAAUUUCGGAAACGGAUAGGCUCGCGUGACAUUAGCUAGAUGGCGGGUAACGGCCCACCAUGGCUACGAUGCCUAGGGGUUCUGAGAGGAAGGUCCCCCACACUGGAACUGAGACACGGUCCAGACUCCUACGGGAGGCAGCAGUGAGGAAUAUUGGUCAAUGGUCUGACGACUGAACCAGCCAUGCCGCGUGAAGGUCACGGCCCUAUGGGUCUUAAACUUCUUUUGUAAGGGAGCAAUAAGUCCCACGUGUGGGAUGAUGAGAGUACCUUACGAAUAAGCAUCGGCUAACUCCGUGCCAGCAGCCG
This 501-nucleotide ribosomal RNA is filed under the name uncultured bacterium. RNAcentral's name for it is "bacterial SSU rRNA". It matches the Rfam family "Bacterial small subunit ribosomal RNA", at positions 28 to 517 of the family's 1533-position model. The record is from RNAcentral.